GACGAACGCUGGCGGCGUGCUUAACACAUGCAAGUCGAACGGAGCUAUUUAUUUCGGUAGAUAGCUUAGUGGCAAACGGGUGAGUAACGCGUAGGCAACCUGCCCUCAGGAUGGGGACAACGGCUCGAAAGAGCCGCUAAUACCGAAUGACGUAACUUUUCCACAUGGAAGAGAUACUAAAGAUGGGUCAAACCAUCGCCUGAGGAUGGGCCUGCGUCUGAUUAGCCAGUUGGUGAGGUAACGGCUCACCAAAGCAACGAUCAGUAGCCGGUCUGAGAGGAUGAACGGCCACAAUGGGACUGAGACACGGCCCAUACUCCUACGGGAGGCAGCAGUGGGGAAUCUUCCGCAAUGGGCGCAAGCCUGACGGAGCAACGCCGCGUGAGUGAAGAAGGUCUUCGGAUCGUAAAGCUCUGUUGUCGGGGACGAAAGGAAAGGGGAGGCAAUG
Molecule: ribosomal RNA, 448 nt
Filed under: Veillonellaceae bacterium oral taxon 145
Lineage: Bacteria; Bacillati; Bacillota; Negativicutes; Veillonellales; Veillonellaceae
Description: bacterial SSU rRNA
Rfam family: Bacterial small subunit ribosomal RNA
Source: RNAcentral